AUUUUCUCCCACAGUAAUUGUGUUUAAAUAUUAAGUUUUCUUUGAGAUUAGGCUAUGCAGUACAAAGGCCAAGACUCCCUGUUAUUCCCUUAUGGAGACCAGCAGAAUCCCGAGUAUUUUUCAGUCUGAACAUUUUCGUACACAACCAUAAAGAACAAACUCAAACAAAGGACUGAUGGAGAAGAACUGUGCAGCUGUAACCUGGGUGAACACGUCUGCAAAAUGGAGGCAGGAUGACAAAGAGCAGAUCUCUGAAAGAAUGUAACAAGAUAUGCUCCUGCGUCUUGACUUGCAAACACUUGCAGAACAUCAUUUUUGCUGACAGCAGAAAGGUAGUGUUUUCAUGGUAAACACCUAAAUACAUAAAAUGAAUUUUGGUGACAUUUGCUGACCAGAUCCCAACUUUAUCUCUUCUACUCACAUGCACAAUAUUCUUUUACUGACUCUCCAUUCCAUGGCAAUAUGCAGUAUGGAUGCGAUGAAGCAUGCUAUUUGGGGAACGUCUUACAGACUGACUCCCUCAUGAGUAGCUGCCAUACAGCUUGUGGUUCAUUGCUUAGUUAUGUAAUAAAGUACACACUGUACUUGUACAAGGAAAAAAAAAAGAAAAGAGAUAAAUCAAAUACAACUAGCUUAUAACCUUUCACAUGGUGCUAUUAUUGUUUAAGGCAAAAUAGCUUGAUUGCUGUUGCUCUCACAAUUAAUCUGUCUCUGAAAUAUCAAGCUACACAAACAAAAACGAAGCACUGUCACAAGAUUGAUGCGGGUUAUAGAGUUCUUAUGAUCUAAUGGAUGCUAAUACGUUCUGAAGGCAAGAUAGAGCACUUCACUUAGCUUGUACUUUACUUAGUCCUACCUUUCUGAUUUUCUCAAUUUGAAAAGUUCCUCUCUGUCAUGGUUUCUUUUUUCCAAAUACUUUUUAGCUUGUUUGUUUUGUCCUUUUUGCACAUUUUGUGUUUUGCAUGGGCAAUAUAAUUUCAACAACAUGAUGUAUUUGCAUGAAAUGGUUGAUUUGAUAAAUGCUGCUCUAAAUGCUUUUUCCACUUUCUCUUGUGAGAACUCUUAAUUUUGCCACAAAAGGAGGACAUUAGAAAACCAGAAUUUUUUUCUCUGAGUUUGAUCCUAGUUUUCUGCUUAGAAACCUAUUUCAAGAAAGGCAAACUGUUUCCACAGAAAAUCACCUUAUCAAAACCAUAGCUACUCACCUGGAAAGAUGCCAAUUUCUACAUUUUUCUGGAGAUUCUUAUUUACUCACCAAAGUCUCCUUUUGCAUGUAUCCAUUAAAACAGGAGCUGAUUAUUGAAUAUUUGAGUUUCCAGAAAUGACCUUUCUCUGAUCACUCUGAAGAAUGUGCGUUAUCAUCUUCCUUCAUUCCUUAGUGAAUAACAAAAAUCUGCAAGAAUUUAAAAGAAUAGCAUCAUUCUUAUAUUUGACUCUCACAAAGAAUUUGGUUUGUACUGCAGUGUUUAUACAUUUUGGAAUGUAAAAUGAAUAAAAG
Molecule: long non-coding RNA, 1498 nt
Filed under: Gallus gallus (chicken)
Lineage: Eukaryota; Metazoa; Chordata; Aves; Galliformes; Phasianidae
Description: lncRNA (ENSGALG00010002068.1)
Source: RNAcentral